GUGGGGAAUCUUGCGCAAUGGGCGAAAGCCUGACGCAGCCAUGCCGCGUGAAUGAUGAAGGUCUUAGGAUUGUAAAAUUCUUUCACCGGGGACGAUAAUGACGGUACCCGGAGAAGAAGCCCCGGCUAACUUCGCGCCAGCAGCCGCGGUAAUACGAAGGGGGCUAGCGUUGCUCGGAAUUACUGGGCGUAAAGGGCGCGUAGGCGGACAGUUUAGUCAGAGGUGAAAGCCCAGGGCUCAACCUUGGAAUUGCCUUUGAUACUGGCUGUCUUGAGUACGGGAGAGGUGAGUGGAACUCCGAGUGUAGAGGUGAAAUUCGUAGAUAUUCGGAAGAACACCAGUGGCGAAGGCGACUCACUGGCCCGUUACUGACGCUGAGGCGCGAAAGCGUGGGGAGCAAACAGGAUUAGAUACCCUAGUAGUCC
RNAcentral lists this ribosomal RNA (425 nucleotides) under uncultured bacterium. Its description in RNAcentral is "partial 16S ribosomal RNA". It matches the Rfam family "Bacterial small subunit ribosomal RNA", at positions 354 to 796 of the family's 1533-position model. The record is from RNAcentral.